GACGAACGCUGGCGGCGUGCUUAACACAUGCAAGUCGAACGGAAAGGCCCUGCUUGCAGGGUACUCGAGUGGCGAACGGGUGAGUAACACGUGGGUGAUCUGCCCUGCACUUCGGGAUAAGCCUGGGAAACUGGGUCUAAUACCGGAUAGGAGCCAUUUUUAGUGUGAUGGUUGGAAAGUUUUUUCGGUGUAGGAUGAGCUCGCGGCCUAUCAGCUUGUUGGUGGGGUAAUGGCCUACCAAGGCGGCGACGGGUAGCCGGCCUGAGAGGGUGGACGGCCACAUUGGGACUGAGAUACGGGCCAGACUCCUACGGGAGGCAGCAGUGGGGAAUAUUGCACAAUGGGCGCAAGCCUGAUGCAGCGACGCCGCGUGGGGGAUGACGGCCUUCGGGUUGUAAACUCCUUUCGCUAGGGACGAAGCUUUUUGUGACGGUACCUAGAGAAGAAGCACCGGCUAACUACGUG
RNAcentral lists this ribosomal RNA (465 nucleotides) under uncultured bacterium. RNAcentral's name for it is "partial 16S ribosomal RNA". It matches the Rfam family "Bacterial small subunit ribosomal RNA", at positions 28 to 507 of the family's 1533-position model. The record is from RNAcentral.